UCCGUGAAGUAGCUGGUGAGGGAAGAAGAGAUUCAGUUAGCUGGCAACUCUCUCAUUACCACUAAUAAAGUAUUUACCUGCUUUUUUGCCUUGAUAAAUUACAGCUCUGGCCCCAUUGCAAUCGUUUGCUCAUAAAAUGCCUCGUGGAAAAGUCUGGCCAAUCAAUUUUUUAAAUGGAUGUUCCUGAUGUAAGGCCAGGUUCUAUAAUUACAUUUAAAGUGGUUUAAUUCAGAGCUGGGGCAAGACCCAGUGAAGAAUCCUGAUUUUAUCAGAAUUUAAAAGCCUGAAGACUUGUAAAGAACGGUGUCUCCAUUAUCUGCCCUCGUUUGAGAAAAACAGAUUGCAGGAUUAACUGAACUGCUGCAUAAACAAAUUAAAUUUGGGUAGACAAUAACACAAAUGUUGUUCAUCAUUAAGGUUUCUGGAUUAAUAAUGACCAGAAAAACAGGCCACCUCGGUGUUGCGACAUGGCCUUUGCAGUUGUUCUGAUGCUUAAUUGAAUCUCUUUUGGUGUUUGGAUCUGCUACCUUUUCACUGAAAACUGAAUAAAUGCUGUCUUACCUGGAGAACAAUAUCCAUAGUAACAAUCGCCCAAAACUUGAUGCAGUCUUCCAAUAACCAAGAACAUUGGUAUUUUCACUCUUACUUUAUUUGCAUGCUAAUUGUCUUGGAACAGGAAACUUCUUUGGGGUCUGAGCCACUUUGAUUAUACAGGCUUCAGUCUCCUCUGGAUGUGAGUUUGCUGUUCCUUGUAUUACUAAUGGAUGCCAUUUGUGUACACAGGGGAGGAAAAAGGGGUGUUCCCUGUAGGUGUGCACCUUCCAAGACUUGUAGAUAAAGACAGAGGUAAAGCCCUAAGGGCCACUGAAGUAUUGGAAGACGAAUAUAAUGGCGAGAGACUAUGUUAGGAUCAACAUGACACUCAGCUGUGUCAGUUACUGUCUAUCACCUGAACAGAAUGUAGCCUAAUUUCUUGCUUAACUGCUUACCUUGUUCUUCAUUCAACUAUUAAUUCCACUGAUAUUUGUUCUGUACCCACUAUGGCCCCAGCACUCUCCUGGGUCCUGGGAAAAUAGCCGUGAUUGAAAUAAACAAACAUCCCUACUACCGUGGAGUUGCGUUCUUGAGAUGAUUAGGGAAUACAGCACAUGAUGAUUGCUUAGCCAAAAAUUGUAAAUGAAGCAGGGAUAGUGGGAAGAGUGUUGGGGAAAGAGUGGACAAUGAAGGGCUCAGUCCUGAGGCAGUGACUUAGUGAGCCUUCAAGGGAAGGGAGGGAGAGAGCCAUGUGGAUAUUUUGGGGGAGAGGGGAAGCAUUCCAGAGAGAGAAUAGCAAGUGCAAGAAAUGCAACAGAGUAUACCUGGACCACUUAGGGAGGUGGGAUGAAGAUCCCCAAAAGAGGGAUAGUUGGGAUGAGUUCAGGAAGGUGAUGGAUGAAUGGAUUCCUCUUACUGGAGGGAUCUGUUCACAUCUGUGUGGGAUCGCUCCAUGGGCAGCCAGCUUAACAACUGCAUACAACGGGCAUCUUGCAAACAUUCACUGAAUGAGUUGCACAUUGCAAUGUAUACAUUCUAUACUAUCUGGCUCUGAAUGGUCUUUUAUAAAUAUAAGAAUGUAAUUCUGCUAAACAAAUAGGUGGCAAAACUCUGCAAAAAAUGUCCCAAAUGUCCUAAGGAAGGGAGGAUGCCAUUAUGAAUAAUAAGAAAGGCUUGCAUGAUAGUCGAGUUUCAAGAGUCUUGCUGAGCUCCUGCAGCAUGGACUCAGUGCUGGAAGGCAUAUCAUGGCACUCUGUCCGAGUACUGCUGGCCUCCGUAGUUACUCAAGGACAUGGAAUCCUGAAUGGAUGCAGUGGCAUUGAUGGAAUCCUGAAUGGAUGCAGUGGCAUUGAUGGGAGGGUCGAACUCAGGAGGGUGACAUCUGGACAACUCCCCAGAUGUCAGCCUACUGAGAUGUUCCUGAACAGAAACAUCAACAACAGCCUCAGUCCAGAUGAGUCCAAACACAGCUGGGCCUGGAUGGUCUCUUCUUCUCAGAUCUAAAAGUUUCAGGGAAUUAUGGACUUAUGUAUCUUGAGACAUUCGUUUAGUUAGAAACCAGUGGGCCCUCUUUAAUUCGUCACCACCUUUCCUCCAUUGUUGAAAUGCCCCAUGUUUCUAUGCACCUUCAGAAGUUCCCACCUUCUUGGUUUGGGGCAUCUACAGCCCCCUCCCACCACUUUCUCUCUGCUUUCCUCACAGGAUAAAGUACGAUUGUAUUCCUACUACCCAGGUGCUCCCAUGUUCUUUCCUGCUCGGCGCCUAUAUGCCUCUGCCUUGUGUUGCCCAUUGGAUACUCUUUAUUGUCUGUAUCCAAGACGGAGGUCUAGGGAAAUACACUUCCCUCAAGAAUGAGCUCCUUGCCCUGGACUACAGCCCACCAUAUACCCAGAGCCCCUGCCCAUUAAGCCCAACACAAGUCAUUAGAGAAUCAAGUGGCCCUUAAUUUCCUGAAAUACUUCUAGGGAUGCACAGUGUCUGGGGGAAGUCAAAGACUUAAGUUUGAUGCUUUUGAAAAUUAUUUCUUUUGCUGGCUUUGGAACUCUCCACGGCUUCACCCAGUUCCUAGCAAAAAUGGCACCUUGAUAACCCCUUUUCUCAUCAUAUUAAACAGUUUGCAAAGCAGUGACCUAUGAGACCUGCAGUUUUAUUUCUUUUACGCUCCCCACUACUGCCACUGGAAAUGGAAAAACAUGUGGGGCUCCUUGUCCAGAAGGGGACAGUCUCUGUGGCAAACUGUUGUUGCCAAUAUUCCCAGAAUUUGUUGGGGGCAGCCAUUUUUAUGUACAAAAGAAAGAAGCUUCUGGAUCUGUAUUUGGCCUACCCAAGCCCCGCCCCUCAAGAAAGAACUCUUGGGCUCUGUCAUCAUAAGAAAGCUAGCCUUCACGAAUUGGUGUGAAUAUACAACCAGAGAUAUGAAAAAUUGUGCUCUAUAUGUGUAAUAUGAAUUGUAAUGCAUUCCGCUGUCAUAUAUAAAUAAAACAAAUUAAUUAUAAAAAAGAAAGCUAGCCUUGAAAUCAAAUCAAAAAGUUGACCACUAAGGACUCCUUCUCAAUCUUAUUGCUGCUUCAGUGGUAGUUCAUAGUGACAACUUGAAAAGGGUGCUAAUUGCCAGGUGCAGUGGUGUGUGCCUGUGAUUCCAGUGACUGGGGAGGCUGAGGCAGGAGGAUCACAAGUUCAAAGUCAGUCUCAGCAACCUAGUAAGACACUCUGAAAUUCAGUGAGACUCUGUCUCUAAAAAAAUACAUAAAAGGGCUGGGGAUGUGGCUCAGUGGUUAAGUGCCCCUGAGUUCAAUCCCCAGAACCAAGGCAGGGGGCGGGGAAGGCUCAUUAAAUGAUGCUCCCCCUACCUGGGAUUGCUGGGGCAGUACCAUGAGGAGCAGCAGAGUCCUCCCCAUUUUAAGAACAGCUUCUCUUGUGUCUGUCUGCAACAGCAGACUGCUCUCAGCUUGCCAAAUAAAUGAACUGAAUAUACAUAAAGCUACACGCUUAGCCAGGGGUUAAACAGGGUUCCCAGACUCAGAAGCAGGAGGUCUCCUAUUCCAACUCUGACUCUGAUCAGAGGGCAUUUAGAACCAAACAAAAGUUAGAAAGAAGUUGACCAGCAGUUUCCAAAAUGUCCUUGGUCUGCUCUGCUUAUAGACCUUCAGCUCAGCCUCUGAAGCAGGUAUGGGUAAUUAAUAGGAAGUGGCUGCUAUCUGGUAAAGCUGGUGUUAGAUACCCUGCGUUUUAGAGGGCUGUGAGAAGGAACAUUUUCCUCUAAGAGAAAAUAUUUGACUCACAAAAUCUACCCAGUGAAAAAUCCUACUUGCAAGGUUCUUCCUCAAUCCUUGCUUAUUUUGGUCGUGAUUUUUUAAAGCACUCACUGGACGCCCCUGGAGUGACCACUGGAAUGCAGACACCCAUUUCCUUUGUGUUCUGCUUCAUGCUGGGUGCUCAGCCAUUUACCACUCACAUCCCCCAAGUAGUUCAGCUUCUGUUCACACUUUACUCAAUGGUUCCUGAGAUCUUGUUUGUUUCUGGCAAAUUAACAUUUUGACUUUUUAAGUUCAAAGGCUUUCUUUUUAAUUUUAUUUUAGUGCACUGUAAUUAUACAUAAUGGUGGAGGUCACUGUGACAUAUUCAUAUAUGCACAUGAUUUGCUCCAAUUCAUUUCCUGGUGCACUCCUUUUUCUUCACCUCUUCUCUUCCCCAGUUCCCCUUCCUUUUCUCUUCUGGUUUUCCUUCUAUUUAUUUACAUGUAUAUUUUUUUUCACUGAUGCAUCACAUAAAAGUGGGAUUCAUCGGGGUAUAUUCACACAUGCAUCCAGCAUAAUUUUGUUGAUUUUAUUCCCCGGCUCUUCCCUGUUCCCUCACUUCCUCUAUCCUCCUUGACACCUUACCUGUCCUCCACUGGUCUCCCUUCUAUUUUCAUGAGAUCUCCCUACUUUUUUCUCUCUAGCUACUGCAAAUGAGGGAAAAUAUUUGAUCCUUGGCUUUAUGAGUUUGGCUUAUUUCACUCAGCAUGAUAUUCUCGGUUCCAUCUAUUUUCAUGCAAAUGACAUAAUUUCAUUCUCCAUUAUGGCUGUUGUUGAUAGACACAUAGGCUGGUUCUGUAGCCUGGCUAUUGUGAAUUAUGUUGGAAGGCAAUAAAAAAUAAAAUACCUGGGAAUAAAUAUAACCAAGGAGGUGAAAGACCUCUGCAAUGAACAUUACAGAACACUGAAGAAAUGGAAGAUGAUAUUAGAAGAUGAAAAUACCUACCGUGUACCAAGCAGAAUUAAUAUUGCCAAAAUGGUCAUGUGACCAAAAGUGAUCUGUAGAGUUGAUGUAAUCUCCAUAAAAAUUUUAGUGAAAUCCUUUGCAAAACAAGAAGGAAUAAUCUGAAAAUUCAUGUGGGAAAAUGAAAGACCCAGAAUAGACAAAGUAAUUCUGAGCGAUAAGAACAAAGCUGAAAGUAUCACUGUACCCAACUUCAAAUUAUACUACAGAGCUACAGCAAUAAAACAGCAUGGUACAGGCAUAACAACACACAUUUAGAUCAGUGGGACAGAAGAGAAGACAUGCAGAUAAACCCACACAGAUGUAGUCAUCUCAUCUUUGACAAAGGUGCCAAAAACACAAAGUGAAGAAAACAUAUCCUUUUUAACACAUGGUGCCGGGGAAACUGGAUAGCCAUUUGUAUAAGAAUGAAACUAAAUCCCUAUCUAUCACCCUGCACAAAAGCCAACUCAAAAUGGAUGAAAGACCUAGGAAUCAGGCCAGAAAUUGCAACUAUAGAAAAAAAUAGAGUCAACAUUCUAGCAUAUAGGUAUAGGCACAGAAUUUCUUCAUAAGACCCCUCAAGCAUAAGAAAUAAAACCAAGAAUCACUAACAGGAAUGUUAUUAAAAAUCUUUUGCACAGCAAAGAAAAUGUGUAAGAGAUGAAGAGUGAGCCUACAGAAUGGGAGAAAAUCGGUGCUAGUUACUUGUCUGACAGAGGAGUAACAUCCAAAACAUAUAAAGAACUAACACACACACACACACACACACACACACACACACACACACACACACACAGCAGUGGGGGGUGGAGCCCAAACCAAAUAAUGUAACUGACAAUUGGGCAAAUGAACCGAACAAACAUUUCUCAAAAGAAAAAAAUGCAAAUGGCUUAUAAACAUAGGAAAAAAGUGUUUAACAUCACCAGCAACCAGGGAAAUCAAACCCAUCAAGAACAUAAAUAGUAAUAAGUGUUGGCAAGGAUGUGGAAGAAAGGAACACUUACAGUUUCUGUUUAGAAUAGUUUUAAAUUCUUUUCUGAUUCACAUUCAAAAAAAGGAAGCUAUGGAGUCACUAGGUACCUACAUAGCUGAGUUACCCAGAAAUUUUCAGGAAAGCUGGUCAGAUAAAGAACAUAGUAACAAUGGAUAGCCUCAGUUUAACUAGUUAUUGCUCUCAUGAUUUGCAGGGUAUAUCAAGAACUAACUAACUUGAUAAAAAGACUAUAAUAACUCUUAAAAUCCAAAAUGAGCAAAAGCAAAAGACUAGCUUCCCCUUAAGAAAAUCUUCAGACCUACGGACAGUACAAUACUAAUUUUAAAAAUAUCAUAUUUACUUAGAAGCACUCAGAGCGCUUGCAAAACAGCUGCAGACUUGUUUUUGUUUUUUUGUUGUUGCAAUUAUAGAGCGGUAUUCCGUGAACAGAACAAUUUUUUCCUAUGCUCCACCAGAGACGGGCAAAGAUGAAAAAAUGAAACACAACCAUCCUCAUAUAUAAACAAUUUGUCUUGUACAACAGCAAAAACCUGCUGUCGAUUUCCAUGCCGGCAAAGUCAGUGCCUGUUGGAAAUCCCUUCAGGACAAGAUGCACAUUUGGUAGUGGGUUAAGUUUACAAAAGAAUAAAAAAAAAAAAAAAGAUACUGCACAGUUGAAAAAUUAAAUCUUAAACAAUCUUACAUUUCAGUAUUUUUCUUUACAAGGAGUGAAAUAUGUGCAGGAGGGCUGAAUGCUUUAUAGACAGAAAAACACAAACAACACAAAUCAACUUAUGUGUCACCGUCAUUUUCAUCUUCCCUUCCUUCUCAUCUUCCUGAGAUUCCUCCUUUUCCUUUUUCUUGCUCUUUUCCAGCCUUGCUGAUUCCCUUUUAUGCGGCAUCCGGCUUUCCUCUAGCUCCGUAGGCAGCAAUAUCCCUGUUGGAGAUUUCGGCCAGCUCAGCAGCCUUCUUUCCAGUCAGCAGAAGUGCUAUUCUCCGUCUCUGAGAGAGACGUCACCAGUGGACAGGCCGGGAUGUCCUCCUUUGGUUUGGGGGCAACACUCAAGACAGAACAAGGGAAAGGCCUCUUGGGUACACUGGGAUUCUUGAAUUUAUUCAUUUUUUGCUUCCUUCCAGAAGGGACUCAGGUUUUCAUUUGUGUUUCACAGUGGGUCUUGUCCACUUUUGCCAAGUCUUCUGGUUUUCCUCCCUCCUCAUGCUUCUGCCUCUCUGAGCACUUAGAAAAUUCCAGAAAGUCAACCAAAGUCUCUGGAUGCUUCUUGUGCUUCUUCUUGGUGAGUUCACACAAAGAAUGCACGUGAGGCCAUUUUGCCUCUUGGCUUCUUAGGAGCUCCUGUGUCAAUGUUUAUUUUUUCCUCAGUGAGGCACAGAGUCACCUACUGCCCUCCUGGCUCUCAAUUGCCCCAAUAUACUGCAAGGCUGUGAAUCCGGGAGUCAGACACAGCCUCCUUCCCUCUGUUCUGUGACUGAAGAUGUGGAUUGUAAGUGACUUUGUGGAUUUGGGUGUUAGCACACAAUCAUCUCUACACAGUUAGGAGAAAAAAAGUUUACAUAGAAUCUCCAGGACCUAAGCAGAAGACAUUAUGGUCUCUGUUCAUUAUGACAAUGACAGACCUGGUUUAUCUGGGCUUACACUCUCCAUCGCUUUUGUCGAACAUCAAACAUUUUUCUAAGAAGCUCUGGGAAAUAUCAACUUGUGGAACUGAAUUAACCAUUUCUGGUCGAUACGGCCCAAUCAUUAAGCAAUUGAUUGGACUACUCCAGAGCUCAUCCUCAUCUGGCUGUUCAGGCUGUUUUAUCGACAGAUGCGUAUAAACUGGGAUGGGGAUGUGAUAACUAGCCCAGCCAUUGGCCAUGCUGGAGGCUGAGAAAAGCCAUCGACACAGUACACGGGAAGAAGUUCCACUCACUGGCCUCAGGAAAAAGUACAACAUGUCUCUGGGGAAAGAGAAGAGGGUCAAGGGUGUUCUUUAAAGGCCUGGGUUUCACUCCAAGGCCAAGACCUUUCUGCAGUUACAUAGGGAGGGAGAGCUGCAGAGGAGCAAAGCUGCAUUUCAUGGCAUCUAAACAGCUCACCUGGAAAUAGCUAAGUACGCAAAGGAGAGGUGGAAGGACGGCUCAGUGUCGGGGGCCUCCUGAUGCGAUGCACCGGGGAGGGCACAAUGUGGUUCCUGUGGCCCCAGCCCAAAUGUACAACCUGAAAAGCCUGAGGAAACGGCAGACAAACGCAAGUCGGCAGAGAUUCUACAAAGUUACAGGCUUGUACUUUUCAAAGGUGGUGGCCUGAAAAGAAAAGGCUGAGGAACUGUCCCAGAUUGGAGAGGUCUGAGGAGAUGGACAACUAGUUGCAAGGUGGGCACCUGGAUUGAAUCUUGGACCAGACCUAGGGCACUGGUGUGACCGUGUGCAGAAUUUGAAUGAUGGGAGAGUCAGAUCUAUAUUGCAGUAAUGUUAUUUGAAAAUUCUGACAAUUCUAUGAGGAUUAUGUAAGAAUGUCAUUGAUCUUAGACAACAGUGAAGUAUUUAGAGACAAGGGGGUAGUGUGUAUCGCAACUCAAAUUUCAGACCUCAGGAGGAAAAAAAAAAUCACAUCUUUUUGUCCUUAAAGUAAGUGGUGCAUGUGAAUGUGUGUCCGGUGGGGGAAGGGAGGAGUGGCAGGGACAUAAAAUAAAAUGAUUGUGAUAAAAUGCUUAAUCUAGGUGAAGGGCAGACAGCUAUUCCUUGUUCUAUCUUUUGUAACCUCUUGGAAGUCUGAAAUUAUUUUGACAUAAAAAGUUAAAAGAAAUAACUAAGUGUUUAGUUUCUUCAUUAUUCUUAGUAAGGAAGUGGCUACUGAGUCUUCAAGUCUGCCUACAGGAUUUCUGUGGCUGGAUCAUGUGUAUGAGGGCUUCCUACCUGUGUGCACAUGGGGCAGGCAAAUGGAAGGAAUUGGCUGGGGUGGCUGGCCAGCUGCUGGAGGGACACUCUUCCCUCCUUAGCAAAUUCUCAGGUUCAUCUCGAAAUACCAGAGCCCUUGCUUUAGAACUGGAGGGGAUAUGAGAUUACAGAUUUUGGAGACCUUCUUGUUUUAUAAAGUAAGAAAAUGGAGUUCCUAAGCAACUGCUGCCAAGACCCACAUGGUAUAAUCUGAAAGCCACAAGCCACUUGCGGCUACUUGCAAUGGGGAUGCUCUCAGUUGAGAUGUUCUGUGAGUACAAAACACUCUCCAAACUCUGAAGACUUGUAUUAAGUAAAAGAGAAAUAAAUGUGUUUUUUUUGUACCAUUGAAAAGACAAUAGUUUGAGAUAUACUGGGUUAAAGGAAAUAUUCUAUUAAACUAAUUUCAUGUUUCUUUUAAUGCUUUUAAUAUGCCCACUAAAAUUUCAAUGUUAAAAUUCUAUGGGCCUCGUGUUAUAUUUCCUCCGGUUAGCAGUGAUCUAGAUAGAAACUUGGGGGUUAAGUAUUUGUUGAAAACCUAUGGAGAGCAGCAUUUCAAAUUCAAGUAUGAACAUGCAGUGGGUCCAUACAUCCAGCGGUUCUUCCACAAGGAGAGACAAAAGACACACAACAAACCACAAUACUGUGUGACGAGAGCCAUACUAGAGCAUGCAUAAGUGCCACUGAUAACCCACAGGAAGCCGACGACAGAGGCACCGAGGCAGCACUGUUGAAGCAUGGGAGAAGGUGUCAGGGUCUUCCAAGGGUCUUCCAGUCAAAAAGAGAAGCAAUGGGGAAAGUGUGGAGGUGCAAGGUGGCAUGGAGUAUGCUGGGAGGGCAAAUGGCUUGGCUGCUCUUGCAUCCAGCUGGAUGCAGGGUGGGGGGCAUUAGAUGGGGCUAGACUCUAGGUGCCUGUUGAUGGGGCUUGGAAUUUAUCUUCUAAGUGAUGGGAGAGUCAUGGAAGGGUUUUCAAUAAGCAAGUGCUGUAAGUUUUCUCCUUAUGUUCUAGAAGAGAUGCUCUGGAAGCCGUGUGGAGUUUAAGCUGCAAUGGGAUAAAGCAAAGGGACCUGCUAAGUGGGAAGAAGGUUGAGGAGGUGGAGUAGAACACCCUCAGUGAGUUGCUGGAGGGAGAGGAUCAGGGAAGGAAGUGUGUAGACGAUAUGCUCAGACCUGGCUUAGGAGAUGAGAGGGCAGCAGGAAUACAGGAUGGAGAGAUGGACAGGGGAAAAAGGAAAGAGAAUGAGUCCACUGAUUUUUUAAAGAUGAGGUAGAGACAGGGGACCUGCAGAAGACUAAAGUGGGAAUGUCCAGUUGGCCAGAUAAUGGUAGUACAGUUGGAGCUGGAUGAGGGCCCCAAGAGAGGAUGCAGUCCAAAAAAAAAAAAAAAAAAGAUGACAAAACCAAGGGAACAUAAAUACUUUAUGGAAGCUGAACAGAGAAAAAUGGAAGAGAGAACAGAGAAAAAUGUUGAUUUCCUCUUAACAUCAAAAAAAAAAAAAACCCAAAAACCCAAUCAUAAAUGGGC
Ictidomys tridecemlineatus (thirteen-lined ground squirrel) is the source of this 10211-nucleotide non-coding RNA. The record is from RefSeq and is a predicted model, not a curated record. Lineage: Eukaryota; Metazoa; Chordata; Mammalia; Rodentia; Sciuridae.